Molecule: ribosomal RNA, 253 nt
Filed under: uncultured bacterium
Lineage: Bacteria
Description: partial 16S ribosomal RNA
Rfam family: Bacterial small subunit ribosomal RNA
Source: RNAcentral
UACGUAGGGCGCAAGCGUUGUCCGGAAUUAUUGGGCGUAAAGAGCUCGUAGGCGGCUUGUCACGUCGGGUGUGAAAGCCCGGGGCUUAACCCCGGGUCUGCAUUCGAUACGGGCAGGCUAGAGUGUGGUAGGGGAGAUCGGAAUUCCUGGUGUAGCGGUGAAAUGCGCAGAUAUCAGGAGGAACACCGGUGGCGAAGGCGGAUCUCUGGGCCAUUACUGACGCUGAGGAGCGAAAUCGUGGGGAUCGAACAGG